CCUACGGGUUGCAGCAGUGGGGAAUAUUGGACAAUGGGCGCAAGCCUGAUCCAGCCAUACCGCGUGGGUGAAGAAGGCCUUCGGGUUGUAAAGCCCUUUUGUUGGGAAAGAAAUCCUGUCGAUUAAUACUCGGUGGGGAUGACGGUACCCAAAGAAUAAGCACCGGCUAACUUCGUGCCAGCAGCCGCGGUAAUACGAAGGGUGCAAGCGUUACUCGGAAUUACUGGGCGUAAAGCGUGCGUAGGUGGUGGUUUAAGUCUGCUGUGAAAGCCCUGGGCUCAACCUGGGAAUUGCAGUGGAUACUGGAUCACUAGAGUGUGGUAGAGGGAUGCGGAAUUUCUGGUGUAGCAGUGAAAUGCGUAGAGAUCAGAAGGAACAUCCGUGGCGAAGGCGGCAUCCUGGGCCAACACUGACACUGAGGCACGAAAGCGUGGGGAGCAAACAGGAUUAGAUACCCCUGUAGUC
Molecule: ribosomal RNA, 465 nt
Filed under: uncultured bacterium
Lineage: Bacteria
Description: bacterial SSU rRNA
Rfam family: Bacterial small subunit ribosomal RNA
Source: RNAcentral